Molecule: ribosomal RNA, 484 nt
Filed under: uncultured bacterium
Lineage: Bacteria
Description: bacterial SSU rRNA
Rfam family: Bacterial small subunit ribosomal RNA
Source: RNAcentral
UAGUCCACGCCGUAAACGAUGAGUGCUAGCUGUCGGGACAUUAGUCUCGGUGGCGCAGCUAACGCAGUAAGCACUCCGCCUGGGAAGUACGGUCGCAAGAUUAAAACUCAAAGGAAUUGACGGGGACCCGCACAAGCGGUGGAGCAUGUGGUUUAAUUCGAGGCAACGCGAAGAACCUUACCAGGACUUGGCAUCCUCAUCGCGCGCACCAGAGAUGGAGCGUUUCAGUUCGGCUGGAUAAGUGACAGGUGCUGCACGGCUGUCGUCAGCUCGUGUCGUGAGAUGUUGGGUUAAGUCCCGCAACGAGCGCAACCCCUGCUGUCAGUUGCCAUCAUUAAGUUGGGAACUCUGGCGGGACUGCCGGUGAUAAGCCGGAGGAAGGAGGGGACGACGUCAAGUCAUCAUGGCCCUUACGGGCUGGGCUACACACGUGCUACAAUGGCAGUGACAAUGGGCAGCGACCUUGCGAGAGGAAGCGAAUCCC